RNAcentral lists this ribosomal RNA (253 nucleotides) under uncultured bacterium. RNAcentral describes it as "partial 16S ribosomal RNA". It matches the Rfam family "Bacterial small subunit ribosomal RNA", at positions 1094 to 1350 of the family's 1533-position model. The record is from RNAcentral.
GAGCGCAACCCCUACAAUUAGUUACCCACAGGUUAAUAUGAGGACUUUAAUUGAACCGUAGGAGCAAGUAGUGAGGAAGGAGGGGAAGAUGUCAAGUCAUCAUGUCCGACCAGCCCAGGGUCACACACUUGGUACAAUGGUACCUACAGAGGGCAAAGACGGAAGGCAGAGUUUCCCCUUAAAAUAAAUCUCAGUCCGGAUCGCAGUCGGCUACUCGACAUCGUGAAGUUGGAUUCCCUAGUAAUCGCAGAUC